UACGUAGGCGGUUAAAUAAGUCAGGUGUAAAAGGCAUUGGCUCAACCAAUGUAAGCACUUGAAACUGUUUGACUUGAGUAUAGGAGAGGUAAGUGGAAUUCCUAGUGUAGCGGUGAAAUGCGUAGAUAUUAGGAGGAACACCAGUGGCGAAGGCGACUUACUGGACUAUUACUGACGCUAAGGUACGAAAGCGUGGGGAGCAAACA
This 206-nucleotide ribosomal RNA is filed under the name uncultured bacterium. RNAcentral describes it as "partial 16S ribosomal RNA". It matches the Rfam family "Bacterial small subunit ribosomal RNA", at positions 568 to 774 of the family's 1533-position model. The record is from RNAcentral.